CGGGAUGUAGCGCAGCUGGCUAGCGCGCCACGUUCGGGACGUGGAGGCCGCUGGUUCGAAUCCAGUCAUCCCGACCA
RNAcentral lists this transfer RNA (77 nucleotides) under Bacteroidetes bacterium GWE2_42_24. RNAcentral's name for it is "tRNA-Pro". It matches the Rfam family "tRNA". From Rfam's summary of the family: Transfer RNA (tRNA) molecules are approximately 80 nucleotides in length. Their secondary structure includes four short double-helical elements and three loops (D, anti-codon, and T loops). Lineage: Bacteria; Pseudomonadati; Bacteroidota. The record is from RNAcentral. RNAcentral also lists the same sequence under 3 other names.